RNAcentral lists this ribosomal RNA (413 nucleotides) under uncultured prokaryote. Its description in RNAcentral is "bacterial SSU rRNA". It matches the Rfam family "Bacterial small subunit ribosomal RNA", at positions 505 to 918 of the family's 1533-position model. The record is from RNAcentral.
GUGUCAGCAGCCGCGGUAAUACGGAGGGGGUUAGCGUUGUUCGGAAUUACUGGGCGUAAAGCGCGCGUAGGCGGAUUGGAAAGUUGGGGGUGAAAUCCCGGGGCUCAACCCCGGAACUGCCUCCAAAACUUCCAGUCUGGAGUUCGAGAGAGGUGAGUGGAAUUCCGAGUGUAGAGGUGAAAUUCGUAGAUAUUCGGAGGAACACCAGUGGCGAAGGCGGCUCACUGGCUCGAUACUGACGCUGAGGUGCGAAAGUGUGGGGAGCAAACAGGAUUAGAUACCCUGGUAGUCCACACCGUAAACGAUGAAUGCCAGUCGUCGGCAAGCAUGCUUGUCGGUGACACACCUAACGGAUUAAGCAUUCCGCCUGGGGAGUACGGCCGCAAGGUUAAAACUCAAAUGAAUUGGCGGGG